UGGGGAAUUUUGCACAAUGGAGGAAACUCUGAUGCAGCGACGCCGCGUGAGUGAUGAAGAUCUUCGGAUUGUAAAACUCUGUCCUUAGUGAAGAUAAUGACAGUAACUAAGAAGCAAGCCCUGGCUAAAUACGUGCCAGCAGCCGCGGUAAUACGUAUGGGGCAAGCGUUGUCCGGAAUUAUUGGGCGUAAAGGGUACGUAGGCGGUUUAAUAAGUCCUAAUUAAAAGGCUAUGGCUCAACCAUAGUAUGGUUAGGAAACUGUUGAACUUGAGUAGAUGGGGGGAAAGUGUAAUUCCAUGUGUAGCGGUGAAAUGCGUAGAUAUAUGGAGGAACACCAAUGGCGAAGGCAACUUUCUGGAAUCAAACUGACGCUGAGGUACGAAGGCGUGGGGAGCAAACAGG
This 403-nucleotide ribosomal RNA is filed under the name Fusobacteriota bacterium. RNAcentral describes it as "Fusobacteria bacterium partial 16S ribosomal RNA". It matches the Rfam family "Bacterial small subunit ribosomal RNA", at positions 355 to 776 of the family's 1533-position model. Lineage: Bacteria; Fusobacteriati; Fusobacteriota. The record is from RNAcentral.